This 1163-nucleotide long non-coding RNA is filed under the name Anas platyrhynchos platyrhynchos (common mallard). Its description in RNAcentral is "lncRNA (ENSAPLG00000028670.1)". Lineage: Eukaryota; Metazoa; Chordata; Aves; Anseriformes; Anatidae. The record is from RNAcentral.
CCGAGCUGUGCCAAGCAGUGCCAAGCCGUGCCCAGCCUAUGCAGAGCUGUGCCAAAAUGUGCCGAGCUGUGCCAAGACAUGCCGACCUGUGCCAAGCCGUGCUAAGCCGUGCCCAGCCCGGGCAGAGCUGUGCCGAGCUGUGCCAAGCAGUGCCAAGCCUUGCCCAGUCCCGGCAGAGACGUGCCAAACCGUGCCGAGCUGUGCCAAGCCGUGCCCAGAUCGGGCAGAGCUGUGCCAAACCGUGCCGAGUUGUGCCAAGCCGUACCCAGCCCGGGCAGAGCUGUGCCUAACCGUGCCAAGGCAUGCCGAGCCGCGGCCAGCCCGGCAGAGCCGUGCCAAACAGUGCCGAGCUGUGCCAAGCCGUGCCAAGCCGUUCACGGCCCGGGCAGAGCCGUGCCAAAUCGUGCCGAGCUGUGCCAAGCCGCGCCAAACCGUGCCCAGCUCAGGAGGAGCCGUGCCAAAUAAUGCCGAGCUGUGCCAAGCCGCGCCAAACCGUGCCCAGCCCGGGCAGAGCCGUGCCAAACCGUGCCGAGCUGUGCCAAACCGUGCCAAACCGUGCCCAGCCCAGGCACAGCCGUACCAAGCUGUGACGAGCUGUGCCAAGCCGUGCCAAGCCAUGCCGAGCUGUGCCCAGCCCGGGCAGAGCCGAGCCAAACCGUGCCAAGGCAUGCCGAGCCGUGCCCAGCCUGGGCAGAGUCAUGCCAAACCGUGCCAAGCCAUUCCGAGAAAUGCCCAGCCCGGGCAGAGCCGUGCCAAACCGUGCCGAGCUGUGCCACGCCGUGCCAAGCCGUGCCGUACCCGGGCAGAGCCGUGCCAAACCGUGCCGAGCUGUGCCAAGACGUGCCAAGCCAUGCCCAGCCCGGGCAGAGCCGUGCUGAGCCGUGCCCAGGCCGGGCAGAGCUGUGCCAAGCCUUGCCAAGGCAUGCUGCGCCGUGCCCAGACGGGGCAGAGCCGUGCCAGCCCGUGCCGAGAUGUGCCAAGCCGUGCCAAGCCAUGCCGAGCUGUGCCCAGCCUCUGCAGAGCCGUGCCAAGCCGUGCCCAGCCCGGCAGAGCCGUGCCAAACCGUGCCGAGCUGUGCCAAGCCGAGCCAAACCGUGCCCAGCACAGGCAGAGCCAUGCCAAACCGUGCCAAGCAGUGCCAAGCCUUUCCCAGCCCCGGCAGA